GAUGAAGAACGUAGCGAAAUGCGAUAAGUAAUGUGAAUUGCAGAAUUCAGUGAAUCAUCGAAUCUUUGAACGCACAUUGCGCCCGCCAGUAUUCUGGCGGGCAUGCCUGUUCGAGCGUCAUUUCAACCAUCAAGCCCCCGGCUUGUGUUGGGGACCUGCGGCUGCCGCAGGCCCUGAAAAGCAGUGGCGGGCUCGCUGUCACACCGAGCGUAGUAGAUUUCAUCUCGCUCAGGGCGUGCUGCGGGUUCCGGCCGUUAAACCACCUUCAUAACCCAAGGUUGACCUCGGAUCAGGUAGGAAGACCCGCUGAACUUAAGCAUAUCAAAAGCGGAGGA
This 335-nucleotide unclassified non-coding RNA is filed under the name soil metagenome. Its description in RNAcentral is "partial contains 5.8S ribosomal RNA, internal transcribed spacer 2, and large subunit ribosomal RNA". The stretch from base 1 to 120 matches the Rfam family "5.8S ribosomal RNA", at positions 35 to 154 of the family's 154-position model. The record is from RNAcentral.